This 253-nucleotide ribosomal RNA is filed under the name uncultured bacterium. Its description in RNAcentral is "partial 16S ribosomal RNA". It matches the Rfam family "Bacterial small subunit ribosomal RNA", at positions 524 to 776 of the family's 1533-position model. The record is from RNAcentral.
UACGGGGGGGGCAAGCGUUGUUCGGAAUUACUGGGCGUAAAGGGCGCGUAGGCGGCCUUCUAAGUCGGACGUGAAAUCCCUCGGCUUAACCGAGGAACUGCGUCCGAUACUGAAAGGCUUGAAUCCGGGAGAGGGAUGUGGAAUUCCAGGUGUAGCGGUGAAAUGCGUAGAUAUCUGGAGAAACACCGGUGGCGAAGGCGGCAUCCUGGACCGGUAUUGACGCUGAGGCGCGAAAGCUAGGGGAGCAAACGGG